AUGGUAGAGCCCUGAGAGAUUCAAUGGAACAGGUAAAAAAGAAGCAAGAACAUGAGAAAUACUGUCUGUGAUACAUUUGUCCUUGCCACAUUUCUCAAAACAGAUCUGUGUACACAAAGAAAACUGUCUUGGCAGCAAGGCAAAAUGACCGGUGGGUAGCACAGCUUCAGGAAUUAGAAAGGAAGUCCAGUGACUUGGUCUCACUGAGGUAACUUAUAGCUUCUGGAAGUACAUUUUAUACCUGGUUCUUAUUACUUGUGGUAAAGACUUAAAAAUCUGGCAGAAGACUGAGUGUCCUCGAUAUCUUACUCUCUUGGUGCUGAACAAUAUAUCUGUCUAUAAAAAGGUUGCUGACUUUUCUCUUCUAGUGGGGAGGAGGAAAAAAUACAUGUGGAAAAGAGGUGACUCACUCUAAAAAAAUUAUUGGUUCAUAUUUGCACAGCUUAUUAGCUUGUAUUUGCACAGUGCUGCAGUCAGCCAUCUCUGUAGGCUCAGGAGAUCUAAAUAAUGUGUCCUGGCAAUAUUCUCAACUGAAAAGUGAGGGAUUUCCAUUUGAAGUGCUUGCAACUUAUUUGCUUCAUUUUAAUGAGUUUGGUCAUUCUUUGUGGUUUUGCCCUCCUCCUUUCUAGGUAUGUGUUUGGGAUGCACUUACAGGGCAACUUGUCCCUUCUUUGUCCUGACCCUCCAACGUGCUGCCUCUCCAUUUGACAUGGUGAGCAGUGACUCUGACAUUGCCCCGAUGCAGCUGGAUGUCCCACUGGAGUACACCACUGCUGUGAGACCGCUGUUUCUGCCCAACAGCCCUGUGUCUUCCUCUUCCCUCUGCAUUGCAUCUGGAUGGAAGAUCACUGAAGAAGAAAAAUCCCAAGGAGAUGAGUUCAGAGCUGUUGCAAUAUAAGGAUGCCACCCUUACAGACCGGGAAGGAAAGAUGGGAUAUCCUGGUGACGGCAUGAGAUGCAGAAGCACCACCAGCAGCUGCCACUGGAGAGUUAUAGCCCCAUUAAAACCCAUUAUUUGAGUUGAAGUCCUGGACUUAUGAACUGAAAGAAAUCUCUCUAAUUGUCAUGACCAGCUGAUGGUGUAUGAAGGAUUUGGACUAACCAAAGAGUUAAUAUGUGAGAGAGCACUUACCUUAAUGCUGGGUGCCCAGGAUAUAAACCGAAGGCUAUUAGACACUAUAAUUAAGGAUGCAAGGAUCUGCAUUUGGAAUUUAGUGUUUACGAUGGACCACAUCUCUCUCAGGCAAGAGUCAAGCGGCAGCAGGCUUCCCAAGAGACAUGAAGAGAAGGUUUGUCAUCAAGGGCCUCUUAGGUGGAAGAGACCUGCACGCAGUCCAUCCUGACUUCCAUCAUCAUGGAUAUGUGGGAGGAUACUUACAUCAGUUCAUUUUUUACACCCUUUUUCUUCUUGCUACUCAUCUCGCUGUCUGAAAUGCAGUUUGAGCAGGUACUGCUGUGAGUACCAAAGCUGCCUUGUGCCAUAAAGAUAACAGGAUCUUUGGUUACAGAAGUGUUUACUGAAAUGGCUUUUCUUGUUCUCCCACUGCCUCCAUCCUUUCUCCUCCCACAUACGUAGACAUUUAGAGAGCUGUUUGUUGAAGUAAUCUCACUGGAGUAUGAGAUACACAUUCAUACAGAGCGUGGGAGCAAUUUGGCCGUUGCAGUAGGCUCCACUUCUAUAUUCUGGGUAGGAAGUGAUGUUGCAUAGGCAACUGGAGACACACCUCUUGAAAGAUCUCAGAGCCCUCUCAGCAUCCCUAGCAUCUUCAAGUAUCAAGUGUUUUAGAUUAAAAAUACGUCACUGGAAAUAAUAAGUAUAGGUGCUGAGUGUCAAAUUGUACUUGGCAAUGACUACAACUACAGUAUUUUAUUUUCAGCAAACUUAUGUGGCCAGAAAAAAAUCUUUUAGUAUGUUCUCUAGUAGCAGCUCCUCAUCCUUCAUUUCAAAACUGAUAAAUCUGUGGGAUAACGAGGCUUCAAAAUCCUUCUUGAGGGGCUGUAUCAGCAGCCAACACAAAGUGAGAUGGAAGGCAGCAGCCAAUGUAAGUAAUGAUCUGGAUCUUUCCCUGUCUGCUUUGCAAAGAAGACCUAUUGCUAAAGUAGUAUUGAAGAUUACAGGCAGGUAAAAUUGUAAUUUUUUCUGCUUUUCCCCUAAAGCUAUUGCCCUAAGAUAGUGUCAGGAUAGUCUUCUCUGCUCUCAUGUAUCUAAAACUAUAGCAAGUUAAUUCACUGCUCACUCCAAGCACUUCUCAUUAAGCAGUAGACCACGUAUCUCUGCAGUUCUCACCAUCACUAAGCCAAAUAUAGAAACGUUCCUGAGGGAUGACUGUUGCUCUAAGCAAAAGCCUAACCAAAAAACUAGUUUAAGAUAAAUGUAUGUCGGGAAGAACAAUUGGUCUCACCAUGUAAAUGACCUCUGAUUAAUUAAUAACUAUUUUCUGGAACUGGACGCUUAUAAACAGGAAGCAGAAAGCCAAACAGUUCAGUCUAUCUAUGCUAACAUUUGCUUGAGAGCUUGGCUCCUAUUACUAGAGAGUCAUGCCUUUUCCUGGGGCACAGAAAAAGGAUAAAAGGAGCCAGUUAUAAAAAGUUUAGCUCUCAUCACAUGAUCCAGAAGCCCCGCUGUGAAUGAAAGGGAAAUAGGGGAUGUGUCAUACAUCAGCCCUUAAAGUUCUCAAUAGGUUUCUCCAAGCCAGCUCUAACAAUUUCAAGUAUUUCAUGGACUUCUUUUGUUAAGCAUUUUUUUUGUUGCCUCAUCCUCUGUAAUACUGACAUCUGAGGAAAGUAAAUACUGCUCACUUGCAGUUUUCUUUCUCAUGCUAACACUUCUUGUGAGCAGUGAAAGCUGAUGAUGGUCGUAUUGCAGUUAUUUAUGCCCUGUUUAAUUUGCUCUUACUGGAGCUGGUUGAGAACACCAAACAAACUAAUUUUGGAAAAUGGAAACUUAGUAUUAGGGAACUGAGUCAAAAAUAACAGCUUUGACAUAAAAUUAAUAAAUAAAUCAAAGAAUGCUUCUUACCUGAGAAAUGCCACUUUCUGAAAAGCAUGUAGGAGAACACCACUUAUACACAACUUAGUGCCCAGCCUCUAUGCAUCUAAGAUGUCAAGAUUCACGUCCUUCCUAAAUUGGUAUUAGCUCAUGUCCUUAUUUUUUAGUACAGAAUAUAUGGAUAUCUGCUGUUCUUUUGAAGAAAAAAAUGCUUCCAACUCUCUAAUGCAGACAUGUCAAUCCCACCAGAGAUUCAGAAAAAAUAAAUGCUAACAGUAUGGAAAUAACUCUGAAGAAUGCACAUUUCCAGUAGUGGAUCCAUUCCGUAUGCUGGAGCCUGAAAUGAGUGCAGAACUGGGGAAGCCAUGUGGGAAGUCUGAGUGCAACUGAGCAGCCCUGAUGUCCUGGACCUGGCUGACCAACUUGUAGUACAAGGGCCAGCAGUUCUAUGGAGGCUUUCUGACUGACGGAAAAAUGAGUUCUGACAGCUGCACACUGCAAAAUCAGGUGGGUAAUGUCCUCUCACCCCAGAACACUGAGGGCUUGUUGGCAUGAAGAACUGGACAAUCUCUAAGCUAUCUUGUCAGUCCUGGCAAACAAUAGGUAAGCUUGGUGUUCCCCACAUGUCUACAUACAACCAGAGCUUUCCAACAGUAGCAUGUUGCCAGUGUGGGCAGUGGUGUCGGUAAGAUAGGUUUUGGUGUGUACCUGGUAAUUCAUGUGCAGGCAGUCAUAGAAGAGCUUGUUGUCUGCCUGCCAAAGCUGCUGGCACGUUGGUGCCUGUGGCUUCUACUAUGUCCUUAAUAGCCCUUGUAAAGCUGUGGCACCACAUGAUAUUGCUAGAUCUUCAACUUCGUUAUACUUUGACACCCGUGGUGUCUUGGUCUUGAAUGUUUCAUUUGAGCUAUAAUACAGCCCAAAUCUGUAGCUUUGAUAUAAGUUCAGUCCACUUUGUUUUCUGAUUCCUGAGAAGAUGAGUGACUGACCCACUUCUGGAUUCUGUGUUAAUCAUAACAGCAGCAAACCUUUGGAGAUGGAAGUCUAGGUUCUGUCAGCACAGAAAGCAGUGGAACCCCAACUGGGACUCCCCAAACUGUCCCCAUGAUGGAAGGUUCUAAGUCCUGGAACAUGAACAUUGCUGGCAGCGAAUGUUACUUGUGAUCUUUGGGCUCCCCCUGAGAAACCAUGGAGUACUUUAGACUGAAAAGGAUUUUCAUUUUCCUUACUCAGUGCUCAGAACAGGGUAGUCCUGGGAGAGAUAUGCUUGUUGCCAAACGUGAAGGGUAACAACUGCAUGCUUGUGAAAGCUGUGCAUGUGUACUAUGUCUUAAGUGGGUUUCCUUCCAGAAACAACCAGAAACAUCUGGCACUCCUGAAGCUGCAAAAACUUAUCAUUUACCAGGUAAAUGGGCAGCUAGCCUUUGGGACAGUUUGCUUCCUAUCUGACUAAAAUGCAGCAUAAGGAUUAGGAAUGCUUCUGCUAUUCUCCACAGGUUUUGAAACAAGCUCUUCUGAGCAGGCUUCCCUGUGACUUUAGGGUGUAAGUGUAAGCUGUAUGUGGUCAGGAGAAUAGCAAUGACCAUCUAUUCUAUGUGUCUCAGUUGUACUAUGAUCAUCCAAACUAAUGAGCCAAAAUUAAGCAGACAUGUCCCAAGGGAGCAGUUCUACAGCCCACCACUGCUGUCCAUGUGCACAGCGCUAAUGAUACGCACCUCUGCACUGGUAGCAAAGUAAGGUAGCAAAGGCUGGGAUUUGAAGGAAAAAAAUUCUAUUUUGCCUAAAAUGCCCAGAUUCUUGUUUAAGGAAUAUCUUGUUGCAGUAUAGAACUUAGGUUUUAUACACCUAAAUGCAGUGCUUGGAUAGAGCUGAGAGGUUAUUUUUCUGGCUAAUAUAUGUAGCUCAGAGCAGGACUUAGGGGAAAGAAAAUGGGAAGAGCGAUAAGCAGUGAAGGAAUGAGAUCUAGACAGAGAUGGGGCAUGAAAACAGAGCACUGAAUAAGGAGGAUAAAUGGAUCUCACUGUACCAUGGUGAGAGUAGCCACAAAGAAAGAAAAUCACAGUCUUCCUAAGAACUGCUUAACUACAUGAAUGAGUAAUGGGAUUUCUGCCCUCAAGAAGAGAAAUCCUGGGUCAAACCAGCCUGAGGUAAAGCAGCUGCCUGGCUCCCUGACUCUUUGCAGGGUUUACCUCUCGCCUUCCCAGAAACUGCCUUCAAAAAAUGUUCGGUCUGAGUGUGCUGUGGCCUCAGACAGCAGUACUGAUAAAAAGGCAGACUCGACUCAUUAAAACAGCGCUCUCAGGCAUUCGGCAUGUACAGUGAGGGAACACAUGCAUUAUUAAAGCCCUGCUUUGCAGUUAUGGGAUACUGUAGGGAAAGGGGGAUGAAGCAAUGAGUUAAGAGACAAGAAAAGCAGGGGGAUGACUGAGGUAAGAGCAAGGAAUCUGCUCUUGGCGCUGGCAGGAACUUGCUUUCCAGCACAGUGGCUCGCUUACAGGCAGUGAGAGGAAAGCAGGCACUAAUGCAUGGUGCUGAGCAGCAGGACAGUGAGAUGGGAGCUGGCAGUAAGUGUGCCUUGCUUUGACAUGGAAGAGCGCCUACGGCCCAUCAAGGGCACUGACAGUUCAGAGUGGGGGCAACACCAGAGAAAAUCCCCCACAUCUCCUCCCCAGAUGUUGCCUACAGCAUGUGAAACAUUUUUCUAGGUAGGAGCUAGGCUGCUUUCUCUGUCAGAGAUCAGCAGCUUCCAGAAAGUCAAAGCCAAAGUAGCUUUAAUAGAGCUAAUGAGAGGAUGAGCAGAAAUGGCCUCAAGUUGUGCCAGGGGAGGUUCAGGUUGGAUAUUGGAAAAAAUUUCUUCUCUGAAAGAGCUAUCAGGCACUGGAAUGGGCUGCCCAGGGAGGUGAUUGAGUCACUGUCCAUGGAGGUGUUCAAGAAGCCUUUAGAUGUGGUACAAAGGGAGAUGGUUUGCGAGGAAAUAUUGAUGGUAGGUG
Long non-coding RNA from Tympanuchus pallidicinctus (lesser prairie-chicken), 5976 nucleotides. RefSeq lists it as uncharacterized. NCBI's taxonomy places the organism in Eukaryota, Metazoa, Chordata, Aves, Galliformes, Phasianidae. The transcript has 4 exons. The record is from RefSeq and is a predicted model, not a curated record.